UACGUAGGUGGCAAGCGUUGUCCGGAAUUAUUGGGCGUAAAGCGCGCGCAGGCGGCCCUUUAAGUCUGGUGUGAAAUCUUGCGGCUUAACCGCAAGCGGUCAUUGGAAACUGGAGGGCUUGAGUGCAGAAGAGAAGAGUGGAAUUCCACGUGUAGCGGUGAAAUGCGUAGAGAUGUGGAGGAACACCAGUGGCGAGGGCGACUCUUUGGUCUGUUACUGACGCUGAGGCGCGAAAGCGUGGGGAGCAAACAGG
RNAcentral lists this ribosomal RNA (253 nucleotides) under uncultured bacterium. Its description in RNAcentral is "partial 16S ribosomal RNA". It matches the Rfam family "Bacterial small subunit ribosomal RNA", at positions 524 to 776 of the family's 1533-position model. The record is from RNAcentral.